GAUUGCUAUUUCCUCCAACAGAAUGUCAAUAAUCAAUUAGAUAUUUUCAAUUCCAAUCCACACAAUAUUAAUAAAUCUGUUCUUGUAGAGAAAACAAACUAUCACAUUUUCUCAGAAAUACGGUGAUCAAGUUAUAAAAUUCUCAUCCUGAAGGUCAAAGGUUAGGCAAUGGCCGAUGCGCAGAUGCUCAAGAUGUGACAAGAGCAAGGCCAUAGUGGAUUGAUAAUUAUGAAUUCCUUCCUUUUAUUAACGACGUUCUGCUGGACGUAGACCAUCAUGGCACCAUUGCACUGACAUGGUUUAAAAUGCGAAAGCCUGUACUGCGUGUAAAUAAAUAGACUCAGUUGAUAUAGCGCAAGGAGGAACUGCCUGUUGAUCCUCUGUACCUCACUGAUGUGUGUCCCUGGAGUGAGUGAUCCCUGUGGCGGAGUUGCCGCCGCCACCGCUGCUGCUGACCCCCCGAGUCGCCGCCGCCAAUGCAGGGCGUGGAUCUCCUGGUGGGCGUGGCUCUGAUGGAGGAGGACAGACCGGUGCUACCCGGCGUCAACAUCCGCGCCGCAACGCCGGAACGUCUCAUCCAGCUCUGCGUAGAAGUCUUCUGUGAGGCGGGCCCGUGCGAGCGGCAGGAGGAGUACGCUCGGGUCUUCUACCUCAUGCACCAAUGGUUCAUGAAGUCUGAAGAUCUUGCUCAGGCUUUCAUAGAUCUUUACCAGGGUUGCGAUGAAACGAUCUCGUGUGACGUGGCAGCCUGUCCCCACCUUCCCACAGUCCAACAGUGUCCCAUACAGCAAUACAAGGCCAAAAUAUGUCAGGCUGUCAGAUAUUGGAUCCGGCACUUCCCUGUUCAUUUUGAUCUAGACGCACGAUUGGUCAAAGCUGUUGAACAGCUUGGAUGUCUCCUCCAAUCAGAAGGCAAUGUUCAGCUCAAGGAACUCAUUGAUUUGUCCAAAGUACCCUCUUACGACUGGAUGAGGAACAUGUCUGUUCGUCAGCCAUCCCGAAAACAUUCGCGGAAAGUGUCUCUUGUCUUCAAUCAUUUAGAGCCAGAUGAGUUAGCAGAACAGCUGACGUAUCUUGAAUUUAAGGCAUUUAGGAGAAUUCAUUUUUCAGAUUUCAAGAACUAUGCAGUGACAGCAUCUCUGAAGGAGAACCUCAAGUUGGAGCGAUCAAUAGCGUUAUUCAACGGCCUUUCUCAGUGGGUCCAGUGUAUGGUUCUCAGUAAAACAACACCUCAACAGAGAGCUGAUGUCAUUAUUAAAUUUGUCAAUGUGGCCAAGAGACUGCGGGUACUACAGAACUUCAACACACUGAUGGCUAUUGUUGGAGGGCUUACACACAGCGCACUGGCCAGACUCUCCAAAACUAAUGCAUGUCUGCCCUCAGAAACUCACAAGAUUUUAAUAGAGUACACAGAACUGCUGUCUUCAAAUAACAACUUCAGUAAUUACAGGAAAAUAUAUCACCAAGCAACAGGCUUUAAAAUACCAAUCCUGGGUGUUCACUUGAAGGAUCUCAUCUCUCUGCACACGGCCCUCCCAGACAAGGUGGAAGGUAACCUGGUCAACUUCCGCAAGAUGGCUCAACUGUCCCUCAUCCUCACCGAGCUCACGCGCCUACAACGACAAGACAGCGACCCUGUUGAUGCCAAUAUGGACUUAGUCAAUACUUUGAGAUUGUCCCUGGACCUCCAUUACACAGAGGAUGAGAUUUACGAGCUGUCUCUGGCUCGGGAACCCAGAGGAUCCGUGUCAUCUCCUACAACACCCACAAAGCCAGUAGUGUUUGCUGACUGGGUCGCCGGAGUUAAGCCCCCUGAUCCCAGCACCAUCAACAAACAUGUCCACGACAUGGUGGAGGCUGUGUACAAAAACUAUGACCAUGACCGAGAUGGGUUUAUUUCUCACGCUGAAUUUGAGGCCAUCGCUGGCAACUUCCCCUUCAUUGAUUCCUUCUGUGUGCUGGACGCCGAUCAAGAUGGAAUGAUAAGCAAAGAGGAAAUGAAAACAUACUUCAUCCGAGCCAAUUGCCAUGCUGUGCGCAGUAGUUUCAAACACGCCUUCCACGAAACCACAUACUUCAAACCUACCUUCUGCAUCCACUGUACAGGGCUGCUAUGGGGCUUGAUCAAGCAGGGCUGGAAAUGUAAAGACUGUGCAAUCAAUGCCCACAAGCACUGCAAGGAUUUGGUGGUGAUGGAGUGUCGGAGCAAGGGACAUAGGAGGACAGAGUCCAUGUCUAACGGUGUCGGGCCACAUGACUUGACCUUAUCGGCAAAACGGAAAAUCUCCCAGCGUCACCGCAGAGCUCAAAACCUUAGCGCUAACCCCUCCCCACAACCUGAAAUCCGAGUGCUACGUGAAGGUCGUCAGAGGUCCCACAGCGAGAGCCAGGAUGGAGAGUUCUAUGAGGGGAAGCCACUGAUCUACGAGAGACUGAUCAAAGCAGAAGAGAGCGGUUCAGAUUCCGAAGAGGAGGUGCACAGCAGGAACUGUUUAUGUGUAUUAUGUGAUGGCCUCCUGUUCUAGCGAGAACCUAUGUACCUGACUACAAUACCUACUUCCACUGUAGAUUAGAAUGCACGCAGGCGCGGGAACAGCUGAUGGACGAGAACCUACGUUUGAGGGCACGUCUAGAAACUGCAAACGAGCAAAUUCUCACACUGAAAGCCCAUAUUGGUGUUAUUCGGCAAAAUACCAUCU
This 2699-nucleotide unclassified non-coding RNA is filed under the name Haliotis rubra (blacklip abalone). Its description in RNAcentral is "ras guanyl-releasing protein 3-like, transcript variant X3". The record is from RNAcentral. Lineage: Eukaryota; Metazoa; Mollusca; Gastropoda; Lepetellida; Haliotidae.